This is a long non-coding RNA of Halichondria panicea, 902 nucleotides long. RefSeq lists it as uncharacterized. The record is from RefSeq and is a predicted model, not a curated record. The transcript has 2 exons. Lineage: Eukaryota; Metazoa; Porifera; Demospongiae; Suberitida; Halichondriidae.
UUUUCGCUUUUAUAACGGUUAGGCGAACAACUGGGCCUGGUACUAGUUGUCUGUGCAUGCGUCAGUCGUUGGUCAGAUUCUGACGAAUGGAUAUUCUCGUUCACUUUCGUGACAUUUAUAUUCGUGUACUAUCGUGUACUAGAAGUCAGUUCCCGUUUUAUCAUUAUUGGAAUCGAUUGGAAUGGCUCUUAGCUGAAGCUUCUCUCUUCUCUGAAGCUUAUUCUGAAGACUGAACAACAAGGGAAGAGGUAUAAAGCUUUGUCAAGCUUGUUAAGGUCAGAUAUUUUUGUGUGGGCCCUAUGGCCGGCUAGGCUAUGCUAUCAAGUCUUGUUCAUGUUUGGCAAGAAUGUAGGUAGACUAUAGUUUCAUCAUUAAUAUGGUGGAUCAAGUGAAGAGUGUGAGCUAGAGAACUUGGUGCUGCCAUCAUCAGCUUGUCGACAAUGACACUAUAACCGAGAAAUUUAAUAUGUAUAGAUCUACACGUAUUUAAAAUGUCUACUUCUCUGUACAGGAGCAAUGGCUAAUAUCCAGCUAUCCCAACAGUGCUCCUCUUGGCUAUACUAACGGACGAGACUGGACAGUUUGAGACACAGGACUGGAGUAUGACCUGCUCAUUCGAGCGUUGCUGGGUAGCUCAGAGACAUCAAGAGAAUCUACGUUUUCUCAAGUAAUGAGUUACGAGUUGGGGCCUAGAAUCAGAGAAGUCCAGCAGCCUGCUAAAUCUUUUUGAAACGUAAUUUGAAGGCAUUCAAUCAUCCUGAAGUUGCCCUGGGUCACUGUAAUUGUGCUGCAGCACAACUGGCAACUCCCCAGGCCUUUGUGAAGCAGCUCCCUAUGUGCAUCUUUUGUGUACUCACUCUGUGCAUUUUCUGUGUACAAAUUUCUAUUAUUGAUUUAUUAAA